AUUGAACGCUGGCGGCAGGCCUAACACAUGCAAGUCGAGCGGAUGAAGGGAGCUUGCUCCUGGAUUCAGCGGCGGACGGGUGAGUAAUGCCUAGGAAUCUGCCUGGUAGUGGGGGAUAACGUCCGGAAACGGGCGCUAAUACCGCAUACGUCCUGAGGGAGAAAGUGGGGGAUCUUCGGACCUCACGCUCUCAGAUGAGCCUAGGUCGGAUUAGCUAGUUGGUGGGGUAAAGGCCUACCAAGGCGACGAUCCGUAACUGGUCUGAGAGGCUGAUCAGUCACACGAGAGAUGAGACAAGGUCAAGACUACUACGGGAGGCACCAGUGGGGAAUAGUGGACAAUGGGCGAGAGGUGGAACCAGCUAUAACGCGUGGGUGAAGAAGGUCUUCGAAUUGUAAAGACCUUUUGUCGUGAAAGAAAAGCAGCAGGUUAAUACCCCGCUGUUCUGACGGGACCUAAAGAACAAGAACCGGCGAAUUUCAUG
Molecule: ribosomal RNA, 484 nt
Filed under: uncultured bacterium
Lineage: Bacteria
Description: partial 16S ribosomal RNA
Rfam family: Bacterial small subunit ribosomal RNA
Source: RNAcentral